This is a non-coding RNA of Anas platyrhynchos (mallard), 1622 nucleotides long. Lineage: Eukaryota; Metazoa; Chordata; Aves; Anseriformes; Anatidae. The record is from RefSeq and is a predicted model, not a curated record.
GCUGUUGGAGGCUCUGUAACUUUAACAAAUGCUUUUCUCCUGCAGCAAUGCUCCAGGAGUCAGGACCUCUAUGCACAAACACUUGCAGGAUCCCACUGCGUGGGCCAGACCCCUGUGUAUAGGGAAAUACAACACUGUUUCCUCUUAGAGUUUGGGAAUUUUGUCCCCAUCAGGCAGAAGACUAAUCUCAGCCCUUUGUGCUGACUCUUCUGGUGUGGGGCUGGGGAAGCCCAGGUGAAGCCCAUCAUGUGGGGAGCCCUGGUAAUUCAGCUCAGGUGUAGAGCAAGUGUUUAAGGGAGCCUUCAGGGACUAAGGGUUUGCAAAGGCUUUGAUGAAGGUUUGGCUUAUGUAUCUGGGAAGUGUCAUUGGUUCUGGAACGUGUUUAAGUGGCCAAACAGCCAGAAGCAUACUAUGAAUCAGCAUACCAGGAACAGAAGUACUUACUUGCCGGCCUGGAUUCCUUCCCAUGUUGAAGAGAGCUUUAUGAGAAUCCGAUCUUUACCAAUUCCUGCUUCCUUAUAAAGGUCAAUAAGACGCCGGGCCCUCUGAAUCAUUCCUUCCUUAUCAAAGGACAACCUUUGGAACAAGAGUAGGACUUCUUAAGUUUUAUUAAAAAACACUCUCCAAAAGAAACAACAUUCAGAACCACUGUACUACGUUAACAGAAUUUAUGUACUAGUAGCAGGUUUUUCUUCUCAGAGAUACUUCCUUGACUGUCAAGUAGCCAUGACGCAGCACUGCUACUGUUUAAUUCGGAGAAUCUGGAGUUCGACGUAACUUUCUCUGACAGUUAUAUUUUCCUCAAGUUUUUCCAUAAUGAAUGUAAAGUCACUUCUAAGGCUCAGCUUUUACAAGGAGCACAUCGACAGACAAAUCCUAUGCAAGUCACUAAAUAAAUUGCUAAAGCAGAUCUCUUGGAAAAUUGAGGACUAUCACACAAGAGAAUGAGUAAAGUUCGAGGUAUGUUAGAAGCAUAGGGUUUCCCUUGACUAACAACCAGAAGGAGGACAACAAAGAUCAGAUCUCUACAUUACUUGUUCUUAUGAAGUUUUGUCACCAAGUUAUAACAAAGUCCUGAUCAAGCAAAUGAACUGCAAUUCAUUGUCUAAAUAUUAACAACACAAGCUCCUGGUACUCCUGUAACAGUGAACUGUCCAGUCAAGAACAUAUUUCUUCAGCUCACAUCAUCCCUUUUUGUAGGCACAAAUAUACAGGGUAACCCAGAGGAAAGAGAGCAAACCUUGCAUCUACUUCUGUGGACACGCGGCCAGGUAUCCUCUUCAAUAUUUCAGCUCCAAAUAAUACAAAAAGUUUGUCACAAGCAUUUUGUAUUUGCUCAUCUUCUGACCUAAAAAACAUGAGAACAAAAUCAUUUUUUAUGGGGGAGGGUAGCAUGUUCAGUACUUGCCACUGAUUUCAAGAUCAAAUUUCACAGUCUGUUUAACAUUCAAAUAACCACUUCUGCUCUGCUCCAUGUUUGUUCUGCUCUCUGUGUACCACCAAUAAUAUUAGCCUUCAGACACUAUUUCCUAUUACGCUGUCAACUCAGGAAUGUUUUCUGGAGCAGUCCUAGAAGGCUAUAUGAGAACUGAUAAAUGGAGAUAAACUGAACCUUGUAACAA